Long non-coding RNA from Sinocyclocheilus grahami, 658 nucleotides. RefSeq lists it as uncharacterized. The transcript has 4 exons. The record is from RefSeq and is a predicted model, not a curated record. Lineage: Eukaryota; Metazoa; Chordata; Actinopteri; Cypriniformes; Cyprinidae.
AUGACUGAUGAGCGCUCUUCGUGCGCGACCGCGGCGCCUGAUAGCGACUGAGAAUUCGAUCACCGAUUCGCGCGUCGUAUAUCGACGACGAGCAGCGCCGCGGGGCGAGUUUAGCGCGCGAGCGCUGUGCGCGGGUCUGCAGCGCGCGCGCCAUUUUGUCCAGGGUCCGCGGCGGCGCGCGCGCGGGGUGAGUGAGUGACGGACGCGGGACUGCUGCGCUGCGGAGCGCCGACGCUCACCGAGAGGCGCUGUUCUGUUCUCCACGAAGCUGUGCGUCCGACAUACUUUGGACAGCAUUCCCGAGGAAGGCGGUUGGGAAUUAUUGCGGAUUCUCCCGAGGAGCUGCAGUCCUCUCGUCAGAAAGAGGCUCGCGGCACGAUCUUCACCAAUGGUUGUGCUAGUUAAAGAUCAACUCAACCAUCUCAGAAAACGGCAAGACCCUGCUGAGACUCCAGGGCUGUUCUCACCUGAAAACCACUCGCGAGUCGCUACAGUGGGCUGUGGUUUGCAGAUGGACUCCCCUGUCACAAUGAUAUGAGAUUUGUCAGAAGACGAUGCAUACAGGAGGAGAGACCUCAGCAUGCAAACCCUCCUCUGUUCGGCUGGCCCCCUCGUUUUCUUUCCAUUCGGCUGGUGUGCAGAUGGAUGCGCAGACGCC